CUAUGCGCCUUGCCAGCCCGCUCAGGUGUGCCAGCCGCCGCGGUAAUACGGAGGAUGCGAGCGUUAUCCGGAUUUAUGGUUAAAGGGUGCGUAGGCGGAUUUUAAGUCAGCGGUAAAAUUGCGGGGCUCAACCCCGUCGAGCCGUUGAAACUGUCAGACUUGAGUUGGCGAGAAGUACGCGGAAUGCGCGGUGUAGCGGUGAAAUGCAUAGAUAUCGCGCAGAACUCCGAUUGCGAAGGCAGCGUACCGGCGCCACACUGACGCUGAGGCACGAAAGCGUGGGGAUCGAACAGG
Molecule: ribosomal RNA, 294 nt
Filed under: uncultured bacterium
Lineage: Bacteria
Description: partial 16S ribosomal RNA
Rfam family: Bacterial small subunit ribosomal RNA
Source: RNAcentral